UCAGAUUGAACGCUGGCGGCAUGCCUUACACAUGCAAGUCGAACGGCAGCACGGGUGCUUGCACCUGGUGGCGAGUGGCGAACGGGUGAGUAAUACAUCGGAACGUGUCCUGUAGUGGGGGAUAGCCCGGCGAAAGCCGGAUUAAUACCGCAUACGAUCUACGGAUGAAAGCGGGGGAUCUUCGGACCUCGCGCUAUAGGGGCGGCCGAUGGCGGAUUAGCUAGUUGGUGAGGUAAAGGCUCACCAAGGCGACGAUCCGUAGCUGGUCUGAGAGGACGACCAGCCACACUGGGACUGAGACACGGCCCAGACUCCUACGGGAGGCAGCAGUGGGGAAUUUUGGACAAUGGGCGAAAGCCUGAUCCAGCAAUGCCGCGUGUGUGAAGAAGGCCUUCGGGUUGUAAAGCACUUUUGUCCGGAAAGAAAUCCCUGGUCCUAAUAUGGCCGGGGGAUGACGGUACCGGAAGAAUAAGCACCGGCUAACUACGUGCCAGCAGCCGCGGUAAUACGUAGGGUGCAAGCGUUAAUCGGAAUUACUGGGCGUAAAGCGUGCGCAGGCGGUGAUGUAAGACCGAUGUGAAAUCCCCGGGCUCAACCUGGGAACUGCAUUGGUGACUGCAUCGCUUGAGUAUGGCAGAGGGGGGUAGAAUUCCACGUGUAGCAGUGAAAUGCGUAGAGAUGUGGAGGAAUACCGAUGGCGAAGGCAGCCCCCUGGGUCAAUACUGACGCUCAUGCACGAAAGCGUGGGGAGCA
RNAcentral lists this ribosomal RNA (753 nucleotides) under Paraburkholderia tropica. RNAcentral's name for it is "bacterial SSU rRNA". It matches the Rfam family "Bacterial small subunit ribosomal RNA", at positions 24 to 770 of the family's 1533-position model. The record is from RNAcentral. Lineage: Bacteria; Pseudomonadati; Pseudomonadota; Betaproteobacteria; Burkholderiales; Burkholderiaceae.